GGAGAAUUGCUUGAACCCGGGAGGCAGAGGUUGCAGUGAGCCAAGAUGGCGCCACUGCACUCCAUCCAGACUGGGAGACAGAACAAGACUCUGUCCCAAAAAAAAAAAAAAAAAAAAAGAGAAAAUGUAACCUGAUUCUGUAGUCUCAGGCUGAUGAAUUUUGGAACACUUAGCCGUAUAAUCAGGUGUCACUGGUAUGGCAUACUCCACAGUUUGGGAUAUAAAUAUAGUCUCAUCUUUUAUUUUUCCAUUAAUCACUUGAGAGCCCAACUGCAGUUAGUGGCAGGAGGUCCAGUAUCUCCCUGGAGACCUUCCUACCAACCCUCUGAAUUGUUCAAGAACAAGGGCUUCUGCCUGUCUUGUCAGGUCCUUGGGAGAGAGUGGAGGAGAUGGUGUUCUCGUGUUAAUUGAGGCUGAGAAAGCAGCACUGCUCACGUUUUGCUUUAUUUUCUUCCUCUCCUAGGCAGAAUCAGUGUUACAUUUGUGGUCAGAUGAGCUAACGACAUCCUUCCUGACUUCUUUCUCAGAAUUAGGAAACCCUGAUUAGCAUUUAGAACCUCAUUUUCACAGACUUCACUCAUUAAAACAUCAAGACCUAGGUAACGCACCACUGAAAUUUCAUAAUAUGGAGGAUAUGUUUAAAUAUGUUUAAAAUAUGUAUUUUUAACUGUGGUUAAAAUAUGUUUUUAAAAUGUUUAUGAGUCAAAAUAAUUAAAAUUGCCAUUUAACGUAA
RNAcentral lists this long non-coding RNA (733 nucleotides) under Homo sapiens (human). RNAcentral's name for it is "HSALNT0294742". Lineage: Eukaryota; Metazoa; Chordata; Mammalia; Primates; Hominidae. The record is from RNAcentral.